AUCGAAACACUGGGGCCAUUUUCCACGGGUUUCCCCAUAUCGACCACACUCAAGAUUUUGUGAGAAAGGAUAUCAUAGGAUGGCUUCAGUGGCUUUGCCAUAAUGUGGGCUUUCAGGAUUUUCGUUUUGAUUAUGCAAAGGCUAUUCACCAAAAUAUGUUAAAGACUAUAUUGAAGGAGCACAACCACUGUUAUCUGUCGGGGAGUAUUUGGAUGUUUGCAACUACAACGGUUCUACUUUGGACUAUAACCAAGAUAGCCAUAGGCAACGAAUAAUCAAAUGGAUUGAUGGCAGUGGACAUCUUUCAACUGGAUUUGACUUCACAACCAAGGGAAUUCUCCAGGAAUUCUGUCAAGAUAGAAUUCUGGCGUCUGCGUGAUGCUCAAGGGAAGCCACCUGGUGUGAUUGGAUGGUGGCCUUCAAGAUCACAUUGGAAUUUUGAAGAAUUGAUUGGUUUUGUUUAGAGAAGAAUAAAUUAAUUUCUUAGUUUAGU
Molecule: long non-coding RNA, 493 nt
Organism: Medicago truncatula (barrel medic)
Lineage: Eukaryota; Viridiplantae; Streptophyta; Magnoliopsida; Fabales; Fabaceae
Exons: 4
Source: RefSeq, a predicted model, not a curated record